UUCCAUGUGUUCCUGGGACCUGUCUGCUGUGGCAAUCUUCUUCCUGCUCAGCCACAGAAGAGCAUGUUUUUGGCAAAAUUGUCACUGUUUAGUUGGUACCAGCUUCUGAUUUGCACAAGUAACAGUU
Small nucleolar RNA from Grammomys surdaster, 127 nucleotides. RefSeq annotates it as small nucleolar RNA SNORA24. The transcript has a single exon. Lineage: Eukaryota; Metazoa; Chordata; Mammalia; Rodentia; Muridae. The record is from RefSeq and is a predicted model, not a curated record.